This 2041-nucleotide long non-coding RNA is filed under the name Anas platyrhynchos platyrhynchos (common mallard). RNAcentral describes it as "lncRNA (ENSAPLG00000026079.1)". The record is from RNAcentral. Lineage: Eukaryota; Metazoa; Chordata; Aves; Anseriformes; Anatidae.
CUCUCACGGCAUGCACGUGGUGUCCUCAGAAUAUGGAUGCUACUGAGAUCUGGAAAAUAGACAAGCUUCUUAAAUAAAAGUGUGAAAGUCACAGAAGGUCAGAGAAGUAGAGGAACAACUUCAGCUGCCCCCUAAUCCCUGAGGUAGAAAUGGAUAAAGUGGUGAAAACACAUCUUCAGUUACUGCUGAAAAUUAUACAGUAAGAGAAACAAUCAGGAAGAGUCUAGGUUUGUGCCAACAAAAAUGUGUCACAACAUGGGAGGCCAGAUCCUGGUACUAUUUCCAAUGUUAUGUGCUGCUCUAUCAUCUUCCUCACUGUCCUGUCCUUGUCAUUUGCUCCUUACGAGCGCCUAAUUGCUCUGCAGAACCAAUUCCUUUCAUCCAGUCAGGAGCUCUGUCACAUCCACCGUGGCAUUUGCUCCUCGUUUCUGGUGGUUUUAGCAGUCCUGUCACCUGCAUUUUCCUCCUGCUUCCAGCCUGUUAUGGCACGGGGCUAGGCUGAAUACAAGUCAGGUGUGAUUUAUUAGAGAGCCAGCCUUUCUUCACUCCACGUCUGGCAGCUAUCUGUAUGUAUUAUUCUGGGGCUUACACUUCAGCUUUUAUUCCCUUUUGUGAUGUCUAGAUAACAAUACUUUAAAUUUAUUCUCAAUGGCAUUUGAGUCAAAACCCCUUCAUCUCAAGCACAGCUGACAUUAGUUGCCUACACAAUGCAACAGCCUCAACCUAUUUCAGUGAAGAGGGGGAAAUAAAUGGAGCUAUCUAAUCAAUAUAGCAGGCUGAACUUGAAGUAUCCAUCCUUUAUUUAAGUGCCUUUGCUAAGAGCCAGUGUUUUAUUAAUCUUAAUCCUGAGAACUGAGCUCAGAAGCAGAAUCAGAGCCUCUUCUUGAUGUUUCAGCCCAUGGAGACACAGCUCACCCUGUUACAGCUCAGCCUUGAGUGUUGGAUCUCUCCUAACACAAACGGGGAGAUGUGUAGCAACCCCUCUGCUGUUACCCAAGUGCUCAUUUCUCUGAUAGCACGAAAGGCACAGCUUGAUGAUCAAAGACAUCUUGUGAGCGCUGAGCAAAACGGGUUGGAGAAGGUCUUCUCCCAUGUGAUAGCUGUCAGACAGCUUGAACCCAUGCAUGAAUGCCUGACUCCUGCACUGCUUCAACCUUCAGUCACACAGACCUGAAAGUGACCCUGUUGCACCUUCCAUUUUUUUCUGUGAGCUGGGUGGGCUUACCCCUAUCUUUAUGGGUCAUUAGCUUGUCCUGUCUGCCACACAUGCAGAAGUAAUGGUACCUUAGUCUAACCAUAGCCAUGGUCUUCAUCAGGCAUGACAAGAUGAAGGCUUAUUUUUAUCUGCAAUGUUGAAGGUUAUGCCCCAUCCCAAGCAGACUGGGGAGAACACAUUGCAGAGGAGCUCUGGUAAGAUUUAAUUGAGCCCCUUGAAUCAGUUACUUUGGUCACUAAGGGACAGCUGUGGGGAACAGCAGAACUCAGGCAGGAUGUGCAAAGUUACAAACUUCCCACACAUAGAGAAGAGGAGGCAGGGAAAUCCCUCACCCCUGGUAUGCAGAAGAGACCAUUUUCCUCCUCUCCCUGUCCUGGUUCUCCUCAUGUUCACAUUUCUCUGUUGGCUUUCACCUCCUCUUCUCCUCCAUCUCACCACUGCUGUUUUUUCUCAGCCACUUCUACUUUGUAGGUCACAUUUGUAGGAAGAAAUAGGCUCUUCAUUAGCACUUUCUGAAGCUAAAUUUCUGUAUUGCCAUGGGUGUGAGAUCUCAUGCCACCCUGAGAUGGGUUAGGAUAGCACAUCCCUGAUCCUGGAGGGAGGGUGAGAGUGGCAGCAAAGACGAUAACUAUGCCCACAACCCCAUCCAUAUGCCUAUAGCCUGCUGGAUUGCAGAAACCUAGCCAUAGAGCUGAUGAGCAUUCAAUUCACCCAUCAUCUAAUUCUGCUCACUUUGAAGAGUAACAGACCUUUCCCUCACUCUUGCUGUGCUAAUAAUUCUGCUUCUCCCUAUGUUGUAUGUUUCACAUUCUGGGAACCAGGAAC